UACGUAGGGUGCAAGCGUUAAUCGGAAUUACUGGGCGUAAAGCGUGCGCAGGCGGUUUUGUAAGUCAGAUGUGAAAUCCCCGGGCUUAACCUGGGAACUGCGUUUGAAACUACAAGGCUAGAGUGUAGCAGAGGGGGGUGGAAUUCCACGUGUAGCAGUGAAAUGCGUAGAGAUGUGGAGGAACACCGAUGGCGAAGGCAGCCCCCUGGGUUAACACUGACGCUCAUGCACGAAAGCGUGGGGAGCAAACAGG
This 253-nucleotide ribosomal RNA is filed under the name uncultured bacterium. Its description in RNAcentral is "partial 16S ribosomal RNA". It matches the Rfam family "Bacterial small subunit ribosomal RNA", at positions 524 to 776 of the family's 1533-position model. The record is from RNAcentral.